GACGAACGCUGGCGGCGUGCUUAACACAUGCAAGUCGAACGGAAAGGCCCUGCUUUUGUGGGGUGCUCGAGUGGCGAACGGGUGAGUAACACGUGAGUAACCUGCCCUUGACUUUGGGAUAACUUCAGGAAACUGGGGCUAAUACCGGAUAGGAGCUCCUGCUGCAUGGUGGGGGUUGGAAAGUUUCGGCGGUUGGGGAUGGACUCGCGGCUUAUCAGCUUGUUGGUGGGGUAGUGGAUUACCAAGGCAUUGACGGGUAGCCGGCCUGAGAGGGUGACCGGCCACAUUGGGACUGAGAUGCGGCACAGACUCCUACGGGGGGCAGCAGUGGGGAAGAUUGCACAAUGGGCGGAAGCCGGAUGCAGCAACGCCGCGUGCGGGAUGACGGCCUUCGGGUUGUAAACCGCUUGCGCCUGUGACGAAGCUUGAGUGACGGUAAUGGGUAAAGAAGCACCGGCUAACUACGUG
This 468-nucleotide ribosomal RNA is filed under the name uncultured bacterium. RNAcentral describes it as "partial 16S ribosomal RNA". It matches the Rfam family "Bacterial small subunit ribosomal RNA", at positions 28 to 507 of the family's 1533-position model. The record is from RNAcentral.